GGCCCAGUGGCGAAGUUGGUUAUCGCGCCGCCCUGUCACGGCGGAGAUCGACGGUUCGAGCCCGUUCUGGGUCG
RNAcentral lists this transfer RNA (74 nucleotides) under Lachnospiraceae bacterium. Its description in RNAcentral is "tRNA-Asp". It matches the Rfam family "tRNA". Rfam says of the family: Transfer RNA (tRNA) molecules are approximately 80 nucleotides in length. Lineage: Bacteria; Bacillati; Bacillota; Clostridia; Lachnospirales; Lachnospiraceae. The record is from RNAcentral.